UUACAAAAACCACAUUUUUUUUUAUUAUCUUCUAUCAUUUCCAGCUUUGAUUUUGAGAUUAUUCAACUUCUGUUUAGUUAUUCAUUCCAUCUUGGCUCUUCAUUGUUGGAUUUGAGUUUCUAUAGAAUUGCAAGACAUACUUUUGUGUUGAUAUAUUCUUUGCUCUUAAUCGUUUCUAUGAUCUUGGCUCUAUUUUAACUUAAUUUUCAUUAUUCAUGGCACGGUUACUUGAUCAGAGUUUGCAGAUUGCAGAUUGUUGUUACCUAGGCUCUUCAAUUCUUCAUUGUUGUCUUUUAAACCCUAAUAAAUUAUAAGACAUAAUUUUGUGUUGAUAUAUUAUUUUUCAUUAUACAUUUCAGGAUCUUGGGUCUGUUUAACAUACUUUUUGUACUUUAGGCCAUAGUUUCUUUAAUUCAAAAUAAAUUGUUGGGAUCUUGGGGCUUCUUAUGGAUGAAUUUAGACUCUAUCCAAUUAUGAGAAUCUAUUCAUAUCAUUUUGUCAUUCAUU
Ipomoea nil (Japanese morning glory) is the source of this 507-nucleotide long non-coding RNA. RefSeq lists it as uncharacterized. The transcript has 3 exons. Lineage: Eukaryota; Viridiplantae; Streptophyta; Magnoliopsida; Solanales; Convolvulaceae. The record is from RefSeq and is a predicted model, not a curated record.